This is an RNA transcript of Saccostrea cuccullata (small rock oyster), 712 nucleotides long. RefSeq lists it as uncharacterized. The record is from RefSeq and is a predicted model, not a curated record. Lineage: Eukaryota; Metazoa; Mollusca; Bivalvia; Ostreida; Ostreidae. The transcript has 8 exons.
UUUGAUUCUUUUUAUCAGGUAUUUUGUCCUUUUAAAGAGAAUUUAUUGAGUACUCAAUAAGUAUGGCUCGAAGGAUUAACCCAGGAAUUACUCUGAAAACUGACAGAUAUGCAUUGGCCGAACUGGAUGUUAAUUACUAUGACCCGAGGUGGGACUACACAAGAGAAGAAAUAGAGCGGUACUUCAUAUCUCCCAGAAGAGAACUGGCCUCCCGAUUUGCUUGGGAGAUGGGAGAAUACGAUGAAGAGAAAUCUGACGAGGAUCAACCUUCCACCAGUUAUGCCCAUAGUCCUGUUCCUCCAGUUGAACCUGAACCUGAACCCGAACCUAAAACUGAACCUGUAGGACGUCCUCAGACCCUGUAUACAUGGUACCUGAGUCUUAGGUACAUCGGGGUAGAGGAAACAUUCACCGACAGAUUUGAAGAAGACUUCAUAGACUCCGCUGCCAUCAAUAGCUUGAAGAUAAUUAUCAGCACUAGGCAACAGAUAUGUUGAGUCGAGACCUCAUUAAAGCUUUCUAUGAUGCCGCCAGUGUGCCCCAAAAGCGGAAAAAGCCAAAUAUCUUCCGUCGUGUUCUCCGACGAAUUGGACGAUGCUUUGGACGAUGUUUUGGAUGUUGCUGUAGACCACAAACUGAUUAGUGUCGAUUUUCAAGACUCUGACUUUUUAAAAUAGAUGGGUGAUUUUAGAGUAAAUUAUUUUUACACAGA